GACGUCAAACCGAUAAAACAGCAGUGUAAAGUGAGCCGCAGGGCGCUUUGCGCGACAGCGCAAAGGCAGGCGGUUUCGCGUAGCGAAAGCGAAUGCUUUGGGGUGGGGUGACUGCGUACCUUUUGUAUAAUGGGUCAGCGACUUAUAUUCUGUAGCAAGGUUAACCGAAUAGGGGAGCCGGAGGGAAACCGAGUCUUAAUUGGGCGUUAAGUUGCAGGGUAUAGACCCGAAACCCGGUGAUCUAGCCAUGGGCAGGUUGAAGGUUGGGUAACACUAACUGGAGGACCGAACCGACUAAUGUUGAAAAAUUAGCGGAUGACCUGUGGCUGGGGGUGAAAGGCCAAUCAAACCGGGAGAUAGCUGGUUCUCCCCGAAAGCUAUUUAGGUAGCGCCUCGUGAAUUCAUCUCCGGGGGUAGAGCACUGUUUCGGCUAGGGGGCCAUCCCGGCUUACCAACCCGAUGCAAACUGCGAAUACCGGAGAAUGUUAUCACGGGAGACACACGGCGGGUGCUAACGUCCGUCGUGAAGAGGGAAACAACCCAGACCGCCAGCUAAGGUCCCAAAGUCAUGGUUAAGUGGGAAACGAUGUGGGAAGGCCCAGACAGCCAGGAUGUUGGCUUAGAAGCAGCCAUCAUUUAAAGAAAGCGUAAUAGCUCACUGGUCGAGUCGGCCUGCGCGGAAGAUGUAACGGGGCUAAACCAUGCACCGAAGCUGCGGCAGCGACACUGUGUGUUGUUGGGUAGGGGAGCGUUCUGUAAGCCUGUGAAGGUGUGUCGUGAGGCAUGCUGGAGGUAUCAGAAGUGCGAAUGCUGACAUAAGUAACGAUAAAGCGGGUGAAAAGCCCGCUCGCCGGAAGACCAAGGGUUCCUGUCCAACGUUAAUCGGGGCAGGGUGAGUCGACCCCUAAGGCGAGGCCGAAAGGCGUAGUCGAUGGGAAACGGGUUAAUAUUCCCGUACUUGGUGUUACUGCGAAGGGGGGACGGAGAAGGCUAUGUUGGCCGGGCGACGGUUGUCCCGGUUUAAGCGUGUAGGUGUGUGUUCCAGGUAAAUCCGGUUCACUUUAACACUGAGGCGUGACGACGAGGCACUACGGUGCUGAAGCAACAAAUGCCCUGCUUCCAGGAAAAGCCUCUAAGCAUCAGGUAACAUCAAAUCGUACCCCAAACCGACACAGGUGGUCAGGUAGAGAAUACCAAGGCGCUUGAGAGAACUCGGGUGAAGGAACUAGGCAAAAUGGUGCCGUAACUUCGGGAGAAGGCACGCUGACACGUAGGUGAAGUGAUUUACUCAUGGAGCUGAAGUCAGUCGAAGAUACCAGCUGGCUGCAACUGUUUAUUAAAAACACAGCACUGUGCAAACACGAAAGUGGACGUAUACGGUGUGACGCCUGCCCGGUGCCGGAAGGUUAAUUGAUGGGGUCAGCGCAAGCGAAGCUCCUGAUCGAAGCCCCGGUAAACGGCGGCCGUAACUAUAACGGUCCUAAGGUAGCGAAAUUCCUUGUCGGGUAAGUUCCGACCUGCACGAAUGGCGUAAUGAUGGCCAGGCUGUCUCCACCCGAGACUCAGUGAAAUUGAACUCGCUGUGAAGAUGCAGUGUACCCGCGGCAAGACGGAAAGACCCCGUGAACCUUUACUAUAGCUUGACACUGAACAUUGAGCCUUGAUGUGUAGGAUAGGUGGGAGGCUUUGAAGUGUGGACGCCAGUCUGCAUGGAGCCGACCUUGAAAUACCACCCUUUAAUGUUUGAUGUUCUAACGUGGACCCGUUACCCGGGUUGCGGACAGUGUCUGGUGGGUAGUUUGACUGGGGCGGUCUCCUCCUAAAGAGUAACGGAGGAGCACGAAGGUUGGCUAAUCCUGGUCGGACAUCAGGAGGUUAGUGCAAUGGCAUAAGCCAGCUUGACUGCGAGCGUGACGGCGCGAGCAGGUGCGAAAGCAGGUCAUAGUGAUCCGGUGGUUCUGAAUGGAAGGGCCAUCGCUCAACGGAUAAAAGGUACUCCGGGGAUAACAGGCUGAUACCGCCCAAGAGUUCAUAUCGACGGCGGUGUUUGGCACCUCGAUGUCGGCUCAUCACAUCCUGGGGCUGAAGUAGGUCCCAAGGGUAUGGCUGUUCGCCAUUUAAAGUGGUACGCGAGCUGGGUUUAGAACGUCGUGAGACAGUUCGGUCCCUAUCUGCCGUGGGCGCUGGAGAACUGAGGGGGGCUGCUCCUAGUACGAGAGGACCGGAGUGGACGCAUCACUGGUGUUCGGGUUGUCAUGCCAAUGGCACUGCCCGGUAGCUAAAUGCGGAAGAGAUAAGUGCUGAAAGCAUCUAAGCACGAAACUUGCCCCGAG
This 2333-nucleotide ribosomal RNA is filed under the name Salmonella enterica. Its description in RNAcentral is "partial 23S ribosomal RNA". It matches the Rfam family "Bacterial large subunit ribosomal RNA". The record is from RNAcentral. Lineage: Bacteria; Pseudomonadati; Pseudomonadota; Gammaproteobacteria; Enterobacterales; Enterobacteriaceae.